RNAcentral lists this unclassified non-coding RNA (1073 nucleotides) under Hevea brasiliensis (rubber tree). Lineage: Eukaryota; Viridiplantae; Streptophyta; Magnoliopsida; Malpighiales; Euphorbiaceae. The record is from RNAcentral.
GCUCUUGAACUCAAAACUUUAUAGGGGAUUGAAGUUGUAGGCCUUCAGUUUGGUAGAUUUGAUUGUGGAUUUGGAGAAAAAGAAAAAAAAGAGAGAAUAUUGAGUUUGAGAAUUGAGAGAAAAUAGUUGAGAUUUGAGAGAAAGUUGAGACUUUGAAUAUUUGAGCGACAGCAAAUGGCUAUGUAACGGCUGGUGACGGUUGCGUAAUGGCCGUGGCAGUUACAAUUUUUAAAACCCGGUUAUUUAACGGGUGUAACGGUCAUGGCAAGCCAAAAAAACCUGUAAAUAAGGGCCGUUACGUAAUGUAAUAGCCAUUUUUUGAGACCAGGACACUUAUUCCCCAUGCAGUUGUUCUAGUGGAUUCAGAAAAUUUUCUCAAUGGUAGCAAUAUUAGCCAGCAUGCAUAUGUACACAUACAAAAGCACACAAUGUUGGGGCACAAUACACGCAUUAUACAAAUAAAAAAAAAUUAACAAGAAAAAAUCACUGCUACUAUCCCCAGAGCAUUUUUAUACUAUCAAACAAAUAUCUUUUAUAUGUAAAUACAAUGGUUUUUAUGACUGGAAAACAAAUUUACAUCUAGAAGCAUGUGUUGUAACCUUGUCUCUACAAGGGUUUUUGGCAGAAUAGAAAGUGGCAAAGGUGGGAGAAAUAGAAGAAAUGGGAGAGAUUUCAGAGAGAACAAGGGAGAGGAAGAGAUGGCAUAUUCUUGUACUCAAUAGGUGGAUUGUUUCUGAUACAACUCUAAUGAAUUUAUACAAUUACAAGUUCUGUUAUCCACUCCUGAGCUUGAUUAAUUUUCCUGUGCUGCAACCCUUACUAUUGAUCCUGUGCUCCUUAUGUUGCAACAGCAUGAUGGACUAAUCUAGUGGUUAAUAAGGACUGAGUGAUGGAGCAAAUAUAAUUACUUUGCCCAAGUUAAAUACAAGCAAAGCAGCAAAAAAGAGCCAGUGGACUGGGCAAACUUGAUAAAUUUAGUGGUUUAAAGUUGAAAUAAUCUAAUUAACCAAACAAUUUUACUAAUAUUCCUAUACCUAUACAACAAGAAGAACUAAGCCUUAAUCCCAAACUAG